Molecule: unclassified non-coding RNA, 207 nt
Filed under: Hevea brasiliensis (rubber tree)
Lineage: Eukaryota; Viridiplantae; Streptophyta; Magnoliopsida; Malpighiales; Euphorbiaceae
Source: RNAcentral
GUCAGAUUACAUAAUUUACUCAAUUGGAUAAUUGAAUAUGGUACAAAUCGAAAGGUGGGAUUUUUCGCAUGAUAAGUAAAGUAAGAAAAUUUGCUUCAUCAUUCACAAAAUAGAACCAAUUAGUCAUCAAUUUCAGUGGAUAGUAACUGAUUAAAAAUGGUAAGGAUUUUCAACGAAACUAAAAAAUUCUUGAAAUCUAACCUUCUU